Tachysurus fulvidraco (yellow catfish) is the source of this 705-nucleotide long non-coding RNA. RefSeq lists it as uncharacterized. The record is from RefSeq and is a predicted model, not a curated record. NCBI's taxonomy places the organism in Eukaryota, Metazoa, Chordata, Actinopteri, Siluriformes, Bagridae. The transcript has 3 exons.
UCUCCCAUGUUGACGUCUACACGAUCAUAUUGCACACUCCGUACGACUGUCACUAGGGGGCAGAAUCCGACAGUCGUUUCCGUAUGUCAUGUGAAAGGCAGCUCGAGCGGUGUAGCGUGUUGAAACCUAUUUCACCGAGAAGAGACGAGAGCACACAUCUGUUGGAGACAUGGACUUUCCACCUGAUCCAAUUCAAACUGACUAUACUCCGGCAUUGACAAAUGAGCAGGAAGGCACAGACUUUUCAUCGCUGGAGCCUGAAAAGAAAGAACUGUCAUGGCCAAAAAAGGACCAGCUCAUGUAUGAGAAACUGGGAGAAGCUCUCACUGGAAAUAUAGCCUAGUGGACAAAGAGUGCAGCUUUUUUGCCUUUUACCUUUUGUAUUUUUGUUUUGUUUUGUUUUGGGAAUGGUAUUUUGUUUUUGUCUUGGACGUUGAACAUUUUUCUUUUUGUUCAAUGUAGGGUUUUUUUGUGAAUAUUGAUGGUUGAGUUAAAUUAGAAGUUGUUUUUUUUUCAAGUAAGAUUGGUUAUUUUGUUUGUUUCUUUGAUUUGGCACGGUGUCUUAUUCUUUUCUCUUGUCCUCGUUCUCUUGAGAAUUAUUUUUGGUUUGGUUAACGAAUGUAUAUAAUUUGUAAAUUUAUGUAAAUAAUUAUAUUUUGGAUUAGUUGGUAUUGGGUACACUAAAAUAAACAAAAACUUUGUUGA